Molecule: ribosomal RNA, 2887 nt
Filed under: Bacteroidia bacterium
Lineage: Bacteria; Pseudomonadati; Bacteroidota; Bacteroidia
Description: 23S ribosomal RNA
Rfam family: Bacterial large subunit ribosomal RNA
Source: RNAcentral
AAGAAAGUAACUAAGGGCGCACGGAGGAUGCCUUGGCUCUCAGAGGCGAAGAAGGACGUGAUAAGCUGCGAUAAGCUGCGGGGAGGGGCACAUACCCAUUAUAUCCGCAGAUUUCCGAAUGAGGAAACUCAUCAGGUUGAAGGCCUGAUAUCCCAAUAGGGAGGCAAACCCGGAGAACUGAAACAUCUAAGUACCCGGAGGAAGAGAAAACAAUUGUGAUUCCCCAAGUAGUGGCGAGCGAACGGGGAACAGCCCAAACCAGUUUUGUUAAGGCAAAGCUGGGGUUGUAGGACUGCAACAUGCACUUUAAAUAGAUAGUGGACAGGUUCUGGAAAGUUCCGCCAUAGAGGGUGAUAGCCCCGUACACGAAAUCUAUUUAAUAGCUAGCAGUAUCCUGAGUACCGCGGGGUCGGAGACGCCUUGCGGGAAUUUGCCGGCACCAUCCGGUAAGGCUAAAUACUCCUGAGAGACCGAUAGUGAACUAGUACCGUGAGGGAAAGGUGAAAAGAACCCCUAACAGGGGAGUGAAAUAGUACCUGAAACCGUGCGCUUACAAGCGGUCGGAGUCCGCCUCGGCGGAUGACGGCGUGCCUUUUGCAUAAUGAGCCUACGAGUUACUCUUCUCUGGCAAGGUUAAGGCCUUCAGGGCCGAAGCCGAAGCGAAAGCGAGUCUGAAUAGGGCGUAUAGUCAGAGGAGGUAGACGCGAAACCUUGUGAUCUACCCUUGGCCAGGUUGAAAGGCAGGUAACACUGUCUGGAGGACCGAACUGGUGAACGUUGAAAAGUUCUCGGAUGAGCUGAGGGUAGGGGUGAAAGGCUAAUCAAACUGGGAAAUAGCUCGUACUCCCCGAAAUGCCUUUAGGGGCAGCCUCGAGGUUGAGUUUUAUAGAGGUAGAGCUACCGAUUGGACUAGGGGGCUUCACCGCCUACCAAAUCCUGACGAACUCCGAAUACUAUAAAAUAUACUCGGGAGUGAGGCUGUGGGUGCUAAGGCCCAUGGCCGAGAGGGAAAGAACCCAGACCAUCAGCUAAGGUCCCCAAAUGUAUGUUAAGUUGAUCUAACGUGGUCCGAUUGCAUUGACAGCUAGGAUGUUGGCUUGGAAGCAGCCAUUCAUUUAAAGAGUGCGUAACAGCUCACUAGUCGAGCGAUCGGGCGUGGAUAAUGACCGGGCAUUAAACAUACUACCGAAGCUAUGGCAUCAAUUUAUUGAUGGGUAGGGGAGCAUUCCGGCAGCGCUGAAGGUGUGACGUGAGUCAUGCUGGAGUGGCCGGAAAAGCAAAUGUAGGCAUAAGUAACGAUAAUGCAGGCGAGAAACCUGCACGCCGAAAGACCAAGGUUUCCUGAUCAACGUUAAUCGGAUCAGGGUUAGUCGGGGCCUAAGGUGUAGCCGAAAGGCGGAGCCGAUGGACAACUGGUUAAUAUUCCAGUACCGGCAUUGCUGCGAUGUGGUGACGAAGGAGUGAAAGAACCGCGUACUUACAGAAUAGUACGUUAAAGCUUGUAGAUAUAGGAUUGGCAGGCAAAUCCGCCAGUCUUGUCGAAGGUGAUAGUACCGUGAGCCCUCGGGUGAGCGGAUAGUGUUCCUAAUCAGACUUCCAAGAAAAACCGCUAAGCUUCAGGCAAAUGCUGCCCGUACCGCAAACCGACACAGGUGGUUGAGAAGAAUAUUCUAAGGCGCUCGAGUGAAUCAUGGCUAAGGAACUCGGCAAAUUCGUCCUGUAACUUCGGGAGAAAGGACCCCCACGCAAGUGGGGCGCAGAGAAAUGGCCCAGGCAACUGUUUAACAAAAACACAUGGCUAUGCUAAAUCGAAAGAUGAUGUAUAUGGCCUGACACCUGCCCGGUGCUGGAAGGUUAAGAGGAGAUGUCAUGCGUCUUUGGCGCAGAAGCAUUGAAUCGAAGCCCCAGUAAACGGCGGCCGUAACUAUAACGGUCCUAAGGUAGCGAAAUUCCUUGUCGGGUAAGUUCCGACCUGCACGAAUGGUGUAAUGAUCUGGGCACUGUCUCAGCCAUGAGCUCGGUGAAAUUGUAGUAGCGGUGAAGAUGCCGCUUACCCGCAACGGGACGGAAAGACCCCGUGCACCUUUACUAUAGCUUAGCAUUGACUUUGGGCAUUUGAUGUGUAGGAUAGGUGGGAGACUUUGAAGCGGUGGCGCCAGCCAUCGUGGAGUCGUCCUUGAAAUACCACCCUUUACAUGUUUGAAGUCUAAUCCGCCAAAGGCGGAGACAUUGCUUGGUGGGUAGUUUGACUGGGGUGGUCGCCUCCAAAAAAGUAUCGGAGGCUUUCAAAGGUACCCUCAACACGCUUGGUAACCGUGUGUAGAGUGCAAUAGCAUAAGGGUGCUUGACUGUGAGACCUACAAGUCGAGCAGGGUCGAAAGACGGAUAUAGUGAUCCGGUGGUUCCGCAUGGAAGGGCCAUCGCUCAUAGGAUAAAAGGUACGCCGGGGAUAACAGGCUGAUCACUCCCAAGAGCUCACAUCGACGGAGUGGUUUGGCACCUCGAUGUCGGCUCGUCACAUCCUGGGGCUGGAGAAGGUCCCAAGGGUUCGGCUGUUCGCCGAUUAAAGUGGCACGCGAGCUGGGUUCAGAACGUCGUGAGACAGUUCGGUCCCUAUCUGUUGUGGGCGUUAGAAAGUUGAGUGAACCUGACUCUAGUACGAGAGGACCGAGUCGGACGAACCUCUAGUGUACCUGUUGUCAUGCUAGUGGCACCGCAGGGUAGCUAUGUUCGGUUGAGAUAAGCGCUGAAAGCAUCUAAGUGCGAAACUCAUCACAAGAUUAGCUUUCUUUUAAGGGUCGUAGAAGACUACUACGUUGAUAGGCUAUAGGUGUAAAGACAGUAAUGUCAAAGCCGAGUAGUACUAAUUGCCCGUAAACUUUCUUAU